Molecule: long non-coding RNA, 1017 nt
Organism: Mirounga angustirostris (Northern elephant seal)
Lineage: Eukaryota; Metazoa; Chordata; Mammalia; Carnivora; Phocidae
Exons: 2
Source: RefSeq, a predicted model, not a curated record
UUGAGGGGAGGAGUAAGGACGCGCGCAUGCGACCCGGGGAAGGGAGACGCAUGGGGCGGGGCUUGAGGGGAGGAGUCGAGGCGCGCGCAUUGGGUCGCGGAGACGGGGCGGGGCGGGGAGUCCCGCUACGCCCCCCUGGAUCCCUCUGUAGCCGCCCCGAAAGGGCAGUUGACCUUCGAAGCUCGGCCUUCCAAAAGCUUGCCUAAAACCCAGAAUUUGAGUCGGGUCCUGCAAGAGGCAUUGAGAGGUGGUCCCGGCCUGAGGUGGGGACCACGGAUACGAGAGAAGGGCUUCUGAGGAUGGACUCCGAAAGACCCUAUUUAUGGAGGGACUUGUGGUUUACCUGGUGUAAAUCGGAGGCAUGCCAACCGGGAGGAUUGUCACUCUAACCAGAUCACGUUUUUUGCCUACAGUGGUAACAACUACUUUCUUCCUGCAGAGAUGGUGACUGCAAGCCAGGGUGUUUAGGGUGUUUACUUGAGCAGUAUCUUAAAGGAGGAGAGAGGAUCUGCUUCUCUUCCUUGCGUUUCCUGCAGGACCACUCAAUUGCUGUACACCAAAAUUUGUGUGUUUAUCCUUGAAGUCUUUCUCUUCUUAAUCUCCUACAAGAAUCAACACAGAUAAAUCUUAUAAAUACAGUCUUGAGUGAAAGAAGGAAAUUGCAGCUCAUACAUAACUCCCAAACGAAAACUUUCCAGUUGCAGCAGCUCCUGCCUUUGAGAUACCAAAACUGAAGCCUGUGUUUACCAUAACUGAUUCUAACCAGGGAAAGCAGGUAAGGACUAAGAAGAACUUGAGUAAUUCCAGUAUGCCAGACCCUCACUGAAUUACUGCAAGAUGCUGAACAACUAACAGUGGGACUUAACUUAAAUCCAGCUCCGAAUGGACUUAGGGAUGUGUUCCUCCCUAUUCAGGUGUAAACUUAAACCUUAGUUAUAACCACCGUGAUCUAACCCCUGUCCUUUAGACUUAAAGAAAUUGAACCACAGAGAAUUAAGUAAAUUACCUAUGAUCCUA